UUAAAUUUGUAAGGGCGUAUGGUGGAUGCCUUGGCACUAGAAGCCGAUGAAGGACGUGACUAACUGCGAUAUGCUUCGGGGAGAUGUACGUAAUCUUUGAUCCGGAGAUUUCCGAAUGGGGGAACCCACUAGUGGUAAUGCACUAGUAUCGUAUAAUGAAAACAUAGUUAUACAGAAAGCAACCCAGUGAACUGAAACAUCUUAGUAACUGGAGGAAAAGAAAGAAAAAUCGAUUUCCUUAGUAGUGGCGAGCGAAACGGAAAGAGCCCAAACCGACUUUAGAGUCGGGGUUGUAGGACCUCUACUUAAGAGUUACAAAUUCACAAUAUAGUUGAACUAUUCUGGAAAGUUUGGCAAAACAAGGUGAUAGCCCUGUAAACGAAAUAUUGUGAACUCUUUGAGGUAUCCUGAGUACAACGAGACACGUGGAAUCUUGUUGGAAUCUGCGGGGACCAUCCCGCAAGGCUAAAUACUCUCUAGUGACCGAUAGUGAACAAGUACCGUGAGGGAAAGGUGAAAAGAACCCCGGGAGGGGAGUGAAAUAGAACCUGAAACCGUAUGCUUACAAAAAGUUCGAGCACAUUAAUGUGUGAGAGCGUGCCUUUUGCAGAAUGAACCGGCGAGUUAUUGUAUUAUGCAAGGUUAAGUCGAACAGAUGGAGCCGAAGCGAAAGCAAGUCUGAAUAGGGCGCUUUAGUAUGAUGCAAUAGACCCGAAACCGAGUGAUCUAGCCAUGAGCAGGUUGAAGUUGGGGUAAGACCCAAUGGAGGACCGAACCGAUAUGCCCGGAAACGCGUACGGAUGACUUGUGGUUAGCGGAGAAAUUCCAAACGAACUCGGAGAUAGCUGGUUCUCCCCGAAAUAGGUUUAGGCCUAGCCUUGAUUGAAUCUGCCCGGAGGUAGAGCACUGAAUGUGCGAUGGCGUCGUCUAGAUGUACUGAGUACAAUCAAACUCCGAAUGCUGGGUAGUACUAAUCAGGAGUCACUGUAUGGGUGAUAACGUCCAUACGGGAGAGGAAAAGAAUCCGGAUCGCCAGCUAAGGUCCCAAAAUUUGUGUUAAGUGGGAAAGGAUGUAGAGUUGUCAAAACAGCUAGGAGGUUGGCUUAGAAGCAGCCACCCUUUAAAGAGUGCGUAAUAGCUCACUAGUCGAGUGACACUGCGCCGAAGAUGUACCGGGGCUAAACACAAUACCGAAGCUGCGGACUUGUACUUAUGUGCAAGUGGUAGGGGAGCGUUCUAAGGGCUGUGAAGGUAGACCGUAAGGACUGCUGGAGCGUUUAGAAGUGAGAAUGCCGGUGUGAGUAACGAAAAUUGGGUGAGAAUCCCAUUCACCGUUUGACUAAGGUUUCCUGGGUAAAGUUCGUCUUCCCAGGGUUAGUCAGGACCUAAGAUGAGGCUGAAAAGCGUAGUCGAUGGACAACAGGUUUAUAUUCCUGUACCACCUAUGUAACUGAUGGAGUGACGGAGAAAGCUAAUGAGAGCCAGUUAUUGGAUUCUGGUCUAAGUGCGUAGGCUAGUAUGUUGGGAAAUCCGCAAUACUAUUACAGCUGAAACAUGAUGGGGAAGUGAUCCUUCGGGUGAGCAAACUUUCAUGAUGCUACGCUUCCAAGAAAAGCUUCUAGGGCUAAUUGCAUAGGUGCCUGUACCGACAACCGACACAGGUGGUCAAGGAGAGUAUCCUAAGGUGAGCGAGAGAACUAUGGUUAAGGAACUCGGCAAAAUGACCCCGUAACUUCGGGAGAAGGGGUGGUCUAGCGAUAGACCCGCAGUAAAGAGUCCCAGGCAACUGUUUACCAAAAACACAGCUCUCUGCUAAAUCGAAAGAUGAUGUAUAGGGGGUGACACUUGCCCAGUGCUGGAAGGUUAAGAGGAGAGGUUAGUAAUGACUUCGGUUAUAUUUACGAAGCUUCGAAUUGAAGCCCCAGUGAACGGCGGCCGUAACUAUAACGGUCCUAAGGUAGCGAAAUUCCUUGUCAGGUAAGUUCUG
RNAcentral lists this ribosomal RNA (1987 nucleotides) under human gut metagenome. Its description in RNAcentral is "bacterial LSU rRNA". It matches the Rfam family "Bacterial large subunit ribosomal RNA", at positions 1 to 1985 of the family's 2925-position model. The record is from RNAcentral.